RNAcentral lists this ribosomal RNA (800 nucleotides) under Staphylococcus pseudintermedius. RNAcentral describes it as "bacterial SSU rRNA". It matches the Rfam family "Bacterial small subunit ribosomal RNA", at positions 182 to 967 of the family's 1533-position model. The record is from RNAcentral. Lineage: Bacteria; Bacillati; Bacillota; Bacilli; Caryophanales; Staphylococcaceae.
UGAACCGCAUGGUUCUACAGUGAAAGACGGUCUUGCUGUCACUUAUAGAUGGACCCGCGCCGUAUUAGCUAGUUGGUGGGGUAACGGCCUACCAAGGCGACGAUACGUAGCCGACCUGAGAGGGUGAUCGGCCACACUGGAACUGAGACACGGUCCAGACUCCUACGGGAGGCAGCAGUAGGGAAUCUUCCGCAAUGGGCGAAAGCCUGACGGAGCAACGCCGCGUGAGUGAUGAAGGUCUUCGGAUCGUAAAGCUCUGUUGUUAGGGAAGAACAAAUGUGUAAGUAACUGUGCACAUCUUGACGGUACCUAACCAGAAAGCCACGGCUAACUACGUGCCAGCAGCCGCGGUAAUACGUAGGUGGCAAGCGUUAUCCGGAAUUAUUGGGCGUAAAGCGCGCGUAGGCGGUUUUUUAAGUCUGAUGUGAAAGCCCACGGCUCAACCGUGGAGGGUCAUUGGAAACUGGAAAACUUGAGUGCAGAAGAGGAAAGUGGAAUUCCAUGUGUAGCGGUGAAAUGCGCAGAGAUAUGGAGGAACACCAGUGGCGAAAGCGGCUUUCUGGUCUGCAACUGACGCUUAAUGUGCGAAAGCGUGGGGAUCAAACAGGAUUAGAUACCCUGGUAGUCCACGCCGUAAACGAUGAGUGCUAAGUGUUAGGGGGUUUCCGCCCCUUAAUGCUGCAGCUAACGCAUUAAGCACUCCCCCCGGGGAGUACGGUCGCAAGACUGAAACUCAGAGGAAUUGACGGGGACCCCCACAAACGGUGGAGCAUGUGGUGUAAUUCGAAGCAACGCGGAGA